Phacochoerus africanus (Common warthog) is the source of this 420-nucleotide non-coding RNA. Lineage: Eukaryota; Metazoa; Chordata; Mammalia; Artiodactyla; Suidae. The record is from the annotation of a RefSeq genome assembly.
AUGCAGCUCCCUGACCUGCUGCUGAGAGUUUUCAUAGCCUCUGCCUGCCUCGGAUCCAUCAAGGCCCAGAACGUGACUCAAGAUCAGCCAGAAAUGUCUGUGCUGGAGAAGGAGGCUGUAACUUUGGACUGUGCAUACAAGGGUAGUAGUUAUAGUUAUUAUUUAUUCUGGUACAAACAACCACCAAGUGGGGAAAUGAUUUUCCUACUUCAUCAGGAGUCUUACAAUGAGCUAAAUAAAACAGAAGGUCGAUAUUUUUUGAACUUCCGGAAGAAAGUCAGUUCCAUCAGCUUCACCAUCUCAGCCUCACAACUCGAGGACUCAGCAGUGUAUUUCUGCGCUCUGAGAGACCACAGUGAUGCGGGUGCCUGUGGGAGCUCAAUAGAAACCUCAGAUCUCAACCUGACUCCCCAGCUAUGA